CUACGCCCUCGCCUCGCGCCGCCGCGCCGCUCACGUGUGAACCUGUAACACCCCAAAACCACGUGGGGUGAGAACCAACUCCAUGGUUCCCAGUGGGUACGGCCACCCAAGGGAAAAGCUCGACCAAUAGGUCCAAGGGAGGCAACUGCAAGUUAGUUCAAUAAACAGAUAGAUAUGUAUCUUGAUUAUGCAACGAAUAAAACCAUGCAUUGCCUCACGAAUGCAAUAUGAAGAUCAUGCAAUGAUGCGACUAUACAAUCAACUAGUAAUUCAAUCGAUUACUACUUUCAUCCAAUUGAUAUUUAAGGUUUUCUGUCAUUUACCAUUUUAAUCAUAAAGUUUCAUCUAUCUUUACAAAGCUAACUAUCCGACUCGGUCUUGAGUCAAUCGUCUGCGGAGUACCGCACAAAGCCAGGCCCGAGGCGAAGGACGUCUCACUUGCACCUCGGCCUUAAAUCCCCUCAACUAGGACAUCACUAUAGCUCAUAAGUUUAUUACCCAAUCACUUGGCUAACCCGAAGGUUUCGCCCUCAACAAACUCACCAAUCCAAAAUCCCAUUAACCAGGGAGAUACUCGCUACAACCCGGUGGGACCGUCCUCUCGGGAGAUAACCGCUACAACCCAGUGAUGUCGACUCCGGAGCACAUCGCCCGAGGGGGAGCUACCACAACCUCGAGCAAAGACUAAAGGUGAGUAUGAUCAAUGAUCAAAUCCAAAAUCUUCAGGAUGUCAAGUUCAAUCCAUUCCUUAACUUUAGGAAGACUAUGCUCAAAUGACCCUAACUCUAGGGUUGAAAAGUCAUAAUAUUUCAAUCAUUCUUUUCUUUACAUUCUUUACUAUCACUUGUGUCAUAUACACUACUAUAUUCUUGGACUCAUGCCAUACUUGUUUUCUAAGUGUUCAACAUGCUAUAAGUGUUUCCACUAUACUAAUCAUAUGCCACUCGAUCUAAUAUAUAUAGAUUGUCCACGUCACAUAUCAUAGUUCAUAUGUCAUUGUUUUUCAAUGUCGAGUUCCCUAAUUCACCUAGAGUUUAUCGACCCAAGUUCAACAUGCAUGUGUCAUUUAACAUAAUCCACAAUAUGUCAAUAUACAUUCAUCUAGUAUAUUCUAUAAUAAAUCAACAUGCACUCAUUCAUCAUAUUCCACAAUAUGUCUACAUAUAUAUGCCAACCAUUCAUAUGCCAUCCAACAUGUUCCAUAAUUUAUCAACAUGCAUAUUACCUCUAACAUAUUACUAUAACAUUAUUUUCAUGCAUUCAUGUAACAAUUAACUCAUGCAUUCAUCUAGCAUUUAACACAUUAUAUGUCAUUAUGCAUGUUAUCUCAACAGUAAGUAACAUCGACUAUAUGCAUCAAUUAGAAAACCAUUACUCUUAGACAUAUAGGCGACCUAGUCGCUUUGGUGAGUACAACCCACCUCAUUUCGCAUUCCGAUUGCUUGUCGACACUUGCAAUCGGCCUCCCGCGGCACCCGGCACCCGGUUUGGCCCGAUCUCUUGCGCGACCACCCGAACGGCCUCCAAUUCACAAUCCGAAAAUUAAAGGUCUUCGGUUAUGUGCCACGAUGCUUCAAAUCCGUUUUCAUGAGUAUACGAUGUCGUCUCGGCCCUCCAGGCGGAAACGAAGCCUAAACGUCUGUUUCUUUAAUAACUUCGCAACGGCUCAACGAAUCGCCGAACCGACUUCGCCAACGCGUUCGUUUACCUAGCAAUUAGGUUUACGGAGGGUCAAAUUAGAUCAAACCCUUAUAUUUUAAAAAACCCAUUCGGAGCCCUAAUAUGCAAUUAACUUCCAAUUAAUCCAAAUUAAAUGGAGAUAACAUGUUUAGAACACUCUAGAUACUACUAGAACAUCAUUCAUGAAGGAUUUAAACAAAAUCCCAAACUCUUACCAAAACGUGAACGCCGCGACGAAAACACGCCGCUCCAACGGGCGCACGAAAGCUCGAUCCGUCGCUCCCAACGCGUUCGCAAGCAUCUUCUCCGCCAACACCGCGAAUUUGAGCGAGAGAUAUAGAGAGAUGAGAGAGAAAUCUAGAGAGAGAAAGAAAGCUUUCUCUCUUCCCACCAUGUAUGCGGG
This 2083-nucleotide long non-coding RNA is filed under the name Ananas comosus (pineapple). RNAcentral describes it as "long non-coding RNA (ACOM_LNC026070)". Lineage: Eukaryota; Viridiplantae; Streptophyta; Magnoliopsida; Poales; Bromeliaceae. The record is from RNAcentral.